Molecule: ribosomal RNA, 427 nt
Filed under: uncultured bacterium
Lineage: Bacteria
Description: partial 16S ribosomal RNA
Rfam family: Bacterial small subunit ribosomal RNA
Source: RNAcentral
UGGGGAAUAUUGCACAAUGGGCGCAAGCCUGAUGCAGCCAUGCCGCGUGUAUGAAGAAGGCCUUCGGGUUGUAAAGUACUUUCAGCGGGGAGGAAGGGAGUAAAGUUAAUACCUUUGCUCAUUGACGUUAUCCGCAGAAGAAGCACCGGCUAACUCCGUGCCAGCAGCCGCGGUAAUACGGAGGGUGCAAGCGUUAAUCGGAAUUACUGGGCGUAAAGCGCACGCAGGCGGUUUGUUAAGUCAGAUGUGAAAUCCCCGGGCUCAACCUGGGAACUGCAUCUGAUACUGGCAAGCUUGAGUCUCGUAGAGGGGGGUAGAAUUCCAGGUGUAGCGGUGAAAUGCGUAGAGAUCUGGAGGAAUACCGGUGGCGAAGGCGGCCCCCUGGACGAAGACUGACGCUCAGGUGCGAAAGCGUGGGGAGCAAACA